GGGACGAAGUCCAGCUCCCGUAAGAGUCCGGAUGAAGUCUUCCUGCAGCCAUAGUCGGGGACGAAGUCUGGCUCCCGUAGGAGCUCGGAUGAAGUCUUCCUGCAGUCGGAGUCGGGGACGGAGUCCGGCUCCCAUAGGAGUUCGGAUGAAGUCUUCCUGCAGCCGGAGUCGGGGAUGAAGUCCGGCUCCCGUAGGAGUCCGGAUGAAGACUACCUAC
RNAcentral lists this long non-coding RNA (217 nucleotides) under Elaeis guineensis (African oil palm). RNAcentral's name for it is "long non-coding RNA (EGUI_LNC047594)". The record is from RNAcentral. Lineage: Eukaryota; Viridiplantae; Streptophyta; Magnoliopsida; Arecales; Arecaceae.